AAAACUUUCAGCAACGGAUCUCUUGGUUCUGGCAUCGAUGAAGAACGCAGCGAAAUGCGAUAAGUAAUGUGAAUUGCAGAAUUCAGUGAAUCAUCGAAUCUUUGAACGCACAUUGCGCCCGCCAGUAUUCUGGCAGGCAUGCCUGUUCGAGCGUCAUU
Molecule: ribosomal RNA, 158 nt
Filed under: Campylospora chaetocladia
Lineage: Eukaryota; Fungi; Ascomycota; Sordariomycetes
Also listed under: 1 other name
Description: 5.8S ribosomal RNA
Rfam family: 5.8S ribosomal RNA
About the family: 5.8S ribosomal RNA (5.8S rRNA) is a component of the large subunit of the eukaryotic ribosome.
Source: RNAcentral